GAUGAACGCUGGCGGCGUGCCUAAUACAUGCAAGUCGAGCGAACAGACGAGAGUGCUUGCCCUCUCUGACGUUAGCGGCGGACGGGUGAGUAACACGUGGGUAACCUACCUAUAAGACUGGGAUAACUUCGGGAAACCGGAGCUAAUACCGGAUAAUAUUUAGCUUCGCAUGAAGCAAUAGUGAAAGACGGUUCUGCUGUCACUUAUAGAUGGACCCGCGGUGUAUUAGCUAGUUGGUGAGGUAACGGCUCACCAAGGCAACAAUACAUAGCCGACCUGAGAGGGUGAUCGGCCACACUGGGACUGAGACACGGCCCAGACUCCUACGGGAGGCAGCAGUAGGGAAUCUUCCGCAAUGGACGAAAGUCUGACGGAGCAAUGCCGCGUGAGUGAAGAAGGUUUUCGGAUCGUAAAACUCUGUUGUAAGGGAAGAACAAGUACGUUAGUAACUGAACGUACCUUGACGGUACCUUACCAGAAAGCCACGGCUAACUACGUG
Molecule: ribosomal RNA, 499 nt
Filed under: uncultured bacterium
Lineage: Bacteria
Description: partial 16S ribosomal RNA
Rfam family: Bacterial small subunit ribosomal RNA
Source: RNAcentral